RNAcentral lists this transfer RNA (96 nucleotides) under Phycisphaerae bacterium. Its description in RNAcentral is "tRNA-Sec". It matches the Rfam family "Selenocysteine transfer RNA". Lineage: Bacteria; Pseudomonadati; Planctomycetota; Phycisphaerae. The record is from RNAcentral.
GGGAGCGUCCCGGCGCCUGGUGGGCCGCACGGUCUUCAAAACCGCUGAAAGACCAUACCCAUGGUCUUUGGUGGGUUCGAUUCCCAUCCGCUCCCG